GGGUCAGUUUGUUGGUCGUGCCACCGGUACGUACUGGUCUCACUGAUUCCUCCUUCCUGAAUAACCGUAAUGCCAUUUAUUUGGUGUUGCGGGGAAACAGGACUGUUACUUUGAAAAAAUUAGAGUGUUUAAAGCAAGCUAACGCUUGAAUACAUUAGCAUGGAAUAAUGAAAUAGGACGAUCGAUCCUAUUUUGUUGGUUUCUAGGAUUGACGUA
RNAcentral lists this ribosomal RNA (216 nucleotides) under Glomeromycotina sp. Its description in RNAcentral is "partial small subunit ribosomal RNA". The stretch from base 40 to 216 matches the Rfam family "Eukaryotic small subunit ribosomal RNA", at positions 686 to 864 of the family's 1831-position model. The record is from RNAcentral. Lineage: Eukaryota; Fungi; Glomeromycota.